UCUCCGUUGGAGAACCAGCGGAGGGAUCAUUACAGGACUCGCAAGACUCCUUCACCCUGUGAACCUCACUACAAGCACGUUGCUUCGGCGGGUGUCCCGGCGGGGGUUUUCCCUCGCCGGGGCGCACAGCCCGCCGGCAGCCUACUAUACUCUGUCUCUUUGCGUUGGCAUCUCGAGAAAAAACAAACAAGUUAAAACUUUCAACAACGGAUCUCUUGGUUCUG
Molecule: unclassified non-coding RNA, 224 nt
Filed under: plant metagenome
Description: partial contains small subunit ribosomal RNA, internal transcribed spacer 1, and 5.8S ribosomal RNA
Source: RNAcentral